GAGGCUUCCGUGCCCGCACCACCUGACGUCCUGGACCCAGGGGCAGGUGAUGCUCCGCUCCAGGGCUCAUUGGACCAGGACCCGCCCUUGGAUCCCUUACCACCUGAGGCAUCUUCCUCAUCUUCCCCAGAUGAGGCAGUGGCGGGCACGUCGAGCACAGGUCCACCCCCGAUAGAUCUCCGGGCACACCAGGACCUAUUACGUAGGGUGGCGCGUAAUAUGGACCUACAAGCAGAGGAGAUAGUGGAGGUGCAGGACCCCAUUAUAAACAUCCUCUCUGCGGAUGCCCCAUCCAGAGUGGCGUUGCCCCUGAUCCGUACGAUCCAGGCUAAUGCCAAUACGAUAUGGCAAACUCCUGCCUCUAUUCCACCCACUGCCAGAGGCGUGGAAAGAAAAUACUUUGUCCCCUCAAAGGACUAUGAGUACUUGUAUACUCAUCCCCAGCCGUGUUCACUGGUGGUGUCAUCAGUGAAUGCAAGGGAGCGCCACGGUCAACAGGCCGCAGUGCCCAAAUCGAAGGAAGCUAAGCGCCUCGAUUUGUUUGGGUGUAAGGUUUAUUCAGCCGGGGGGUUACAACUUAGAGCGGCUAACCAGCAGGCGCUCCUGAGCCGCUAUAACUUUAAUUCCUGGAACUCUAUGGGGAAGUUCAAGGAAUUGGUCCCCCAAGACUCCAGGGAAGAGUUUGGGGCCUUAGUGGAGGAGGGUAAGAAGGUGGCACGGACCUCCUUACAGGCCUCCUUGGACAUAGCAGACUCGGCUGCGAGAACCCUGGCUUCAGGUAUCGCUAUGCGAAGAAUCUCCUGGCUCCAGGUUUCGGGUUUGCCUCCGGAACUGCAGCAAACCCUGCAGGAUUUACCCUUUGAGGGACACGGAUUGUUUUCAGAUAAGACGGACUCUCGUCUGCAGAGCCUCAAGGACUCGAGAACAAUCAUGCGCUCCCUGGGGAUGCAUGUUGCGGGUCCCCAGCGCAGGCCAUUUAGGCCCCAGCCUCAGCGAUUCUACCCCCCCCCACCUCGUCAGAGACAGGACUCUGCCAGAAGGCGGGGGCGAGGUGGUAGGAGAAGGUUGACCGGCCCUCAACCCGGUCAGAACCAGGGGCCACCAAGGCCACCUUCAGGCCCCAGGCAGAACUUUUCAAGGUGCGGUCGAGGACGGCGCCCCAGUCAUCUCCCAGGAUCCAGCCCCCUCCUUUCGGGAUCGCCUCUCCCAUUUCCACCGUGCUUGGUCCCUUAUGACCU
RNAcentral lists this long non-coding RNA (1238 nucleotides) under Chrysemys picta bellii (western painted turtle). RNAcentral's name for it is "lncRNA (ENSCPBG00000002158.1)". Lineage: Eukaryota; Metazoa; Chordata; Testudines; Emydidae. The record is from RNAcentral.